UGCUGGGGACAGAAUUGACUCAUGGGACACGUCCUGGCUUCAUUCCGUCCUCAGGUCCGGCACUUCAGAGGGGCCAUGGGAAAGGAAGGGUGCUCUUGGCAGAAGAAAAAGUAGGUGUACGGGACAGAGACAGCAUACCCUCUCCUGGAAAGGGCUAAAGUCCAAGAUCCUUAACGUGGCAGGCAAGGUCCCUGUGAUUGGCCCCUGGCCAACACCUCAGCUUCUUCUUGGAGGCUUCCUCCCUGCUAACUGUUCUCCAACAACCCGGUAGAGUGUCUUGGCCACCUGGAUCCUGGUUGCAGCAGUGGCAUCUCUGGGGGACGUUUGUCUUUUUUUCUGUCUGUCCAGUGUCUUUGAACACGCUUUCCACAUUUGGGAAGUUUUAUGCCUCACUGGUCUUCAUUCCCCAAGGAAUGAGAUCAACUUCAUGAGACUUAUUUUGAUGGGAUCAUCUGAGGUCAGGAGUUCGAGACCAACCUGGCCAACGUGGUGAAACCCCGUCUCUACUAAAAAUACAGAAUUAGCCGGGUGUGCCUGUAAUCCCAGCUACUUGGGAGGCUGAGGCAUGAG
Non-coding RNA from Chlorocebus sabaeus (green monkey), 570 nucleotides. The record is from RefSeq and is a predicted model, not a curated record. Lineage: Eukaryota; Metazoa; Chordata; Mammalia; Primates; Cercopithecidae.